GACGAACGCUGGCGGCGUGCUUAACACAUGCAAGUCGAACGAAGAGCGAUUGAAUCUUGCUUCUAUCAAUCUGGGUGGCGAACGAGUGAGUAACGCGUAAUCAACCUGCCCUUCAGAGAGGAACAACAGAUGGAAACGACUGCUAAUACCGCAUACGAUCCAAUCUCGGCAUCGGGACUGGAUUAAAGGUGGCCUCUAUUUAUAAGCUAUCACUGAAGGAGGUGAGUGCGUUUGAUUAGCUAGUAGGAGUGGUAACGACCCAGCAAGGCGAGGAUCAGUAGAAGGUAUGAGAGGAUGAAUGGCCACAUUGGGACUGAGACAGGGCCCAGACUGCCACGGGAGGCAGCCGGAGGGCAUCUUGCGGAAUGGACGAGAGUCUGACGAAGAAACGCGGAAUGAGUGAUGACGGACUUCGGGUUGUAGAGCUCUGUUAAUCGGGACGAAUGGUUCUUGUGCGAAUAGUGCGAGGAUUUGACGGUAACGGACUAGAAAGCAACGGCUAACUACGUG
Molecule: ribosomal RNA, 510 nt
Filed under: uncultured bacterium
Lineage: Bacteria
Description: partial 16S ribosomal RNA
Rfam family: Bacterial small subunit ribosomal RNA
Source: RNAcentral